RNAcentral lists this long non-coding RNA (1224 nucleotides) under Salmo salar (Atlantic salmon). RNAcentral's name for it is "lncRNA (ENSSSAG00000082622.1)". Lineage: Eukaryota; Metazoa; Chordata; Actinopteri; Salmoniformes; Salmonidae. The record is from RNAcentral.
CAGAGACAGACUAGAGACAGACGUCUAGAGACAGAUAUCUAGAGACAGACGUCUAGAUGCAGACGUUUAGAGACAGACGUCUAGAGACAGACUAGAGACAGACGUCUAGAGACAGACAUCUAGAGACAGAUGUCUAGAGACAGACUAAAGACAGACUAGCGACAGAUUAGAGACAGACAAGAGACAUACAUCUAGAGAGAGACGUCUAGAGACAGACUGGAGACAGACUAGAGACAGACGUCUAGAGACAGACUAGAGACAGACGUCUAGAGACAGACUAGAGACAGACUCCUAGAGACAGACUGGAGACAGACUAGAGACAGACUGGAGACAGUCUAGAGACAGACUAGAGACAGACUAAAGACAGACUGGAGACAGACGUCUGGAGACAGACUAGAGACAGACUGGAGACAGACGUCUGGAGACAGACUACAGACAGACUAAAGACAGACGUCUAGAGACAGACUAGAGACAGAUGUCUGGAGACAGACUAGAGACAGACAUCUGGAGACAGACUAGAGACAGACUAGAGACAGACGUCUAGAGACAGACUAGAGACAGAUGUCUAGAGACAGACUAGAGACAGACGUCUGGAGACAGACUAGAGACAGACUAAAGACAUACGUCUAGAGACAGACUAGAGACAGAUGUCUGGAGACAGACUAGAGACAGACUAAAGACAGACUGGAGACAGACGUCUGGAGACAGACUAGAGACAGACUGGAGACAGACGUCUGGAGACAGACUAGAGACAGACUAAAGACAGACGUCUAGAGACAGACUAGAGACAGAUGUCUGGAGACAGACUAGAGACAGACAUCUGGAGACAGACUAGAGACAGACUAGAGACAGACGUCUAGAGACAGACUAGAGACAGAUGUCUAGAGACAGACUAGAGACAGACGUCUGGAGACAGACUAGAGACAGACUAGAGACAGACGUCUGGAGACAGACUAGAGACAGACUAGAGACAGACGUCUGGCAGGUUUCAGCUCAAUGCCCUUAUUUCGUCUCUUUCUUCUCGUCCAGACGGAACGAGAGAGCAGGGAGGAGAGAAGGGAGAAGAGGGGAAGUUUAGGGGUCAAGGGCGGUAGGUGACCCUGACUUCCGUUAAUGGGUGUGGCAUAGAAUGACGGUGGUAGGUCAAAGGUCAUACUAGGUUGAGCGUUGUGAUGGGGUAUGUCUACAGUGUUGAAGUAGAGAGAAAGAAAGGAAGAAAGAGAG